UACAGAGGGGGCAAGCGUUAUUCGGAAUUAUUGGGCGUAAAGGGCGCGUGGGCGGCCUGGCAAGUGGAAGGUGAAAUCCCUCGGCUUAACCGAGGAACUGCCCUCCAAACUGCUUGGCUUGAGUCCGGGAGAGGUGAGUGGAAUUCCCAGUGUAGCGGUGAAAUGCGUAGAUAUUGGGAGGAACACCAGUGGCGAAGGCGGCUCACUGGACCGGAACUGACGCUGAGGUGCGAAAGCGUGGGGAGCAAACAGG
This 253-nucleotide ribosomal RNA is filed under the name uncultured bacterium. RNAcentral describes it as "partial 16S ribosomal RNA". It matches the Rfam family "Bacterial small subunit ribosomal RNA", at positions 524 to 776 of the family's 1533-position model. The record is from RNAcentral.